This is a long non-coding RNA of Scylla paramamosain (green mud crab), 3700 nucleotides long. RefSeq lists it as uncharacterized. Lineage: Eukaryota; Metazoa; Arthropoda; Malacostraca; Decapoda; Portunidae. The transcript has 7 exons. The record is from RefSeq and is a predicted model, not a curated record.
GUGAUAAUGAGGAACAUAACUCUGAAAUUUAGAACCAUUGAAAUCUCCUGCUAUUAAUUUAACUGCUUCAGGUGACAUAUUUUCAGUCUUACACACAGCAUCAUAUAACAGACUUUCUGCAUUUUUUAUAUCCACAUAUUUUGGAGGAAUAUAAACUACUAUUAUGAAAAUCUUGUUAAAUUAUCUUGGUAAAUAGUAAGGUCUCACGGAAAGUGUCAUGUAUUCAAUGCAGUCAUUACAGACUUUCUCAAUCACAGUUAUAUCCCUGCACCACCUGUUGUUUACGUAAGCACACACUCCGCCACCAGCACUUUUUCCUGAGUCUGGGGUUCGAUCGCUCUUUAUUAAUUGAUACCCAUCAAUAUGAUAUGCUGAGUCGGGAUCGUUUUCACCACUUAACCAAGUUUCUGUCAGACAAAUGAUAGAUGCCUCUCUGAAUGCAUAAUUCCACUUGCACAAAGCACUAAGUUCAUCAAACUUGUUCCGUACUGAACGAACAUUUCCGACCACACACAUAGGGAGAGAGAGCCGGGCGCUGCGUCGUCUGCACCUCACCCUCACACCACCCCGCCUUCCUCUCCUUUUGUUAUUUCUAGUUUUUCCCUCUGGAUGCAACACCUUCCUUUUCACAGCAUCUGGCACGGUCACAGCAAAUGUCUCAACGUUGCUAGACUUUGCUAACGUUAGCAGAAUAUCCUUGCCAUAAAUCAGUCGUUCCUGCUGUUUGUUUAUAUCCGGCGGCUCAUCAGUCCGGGUAGACACAGCGGCCACACUCACAGAACAGCUCUGUAGCACCCACCAGAAGAGUAGAAAGCAAACUAUUCGCGUCAUCAUGAUGUCUGUAGCUUCAUAACUCGCCAGGCAACUCAGGAAUACCAGCAGCCUUCCAAUUCCAUUAAAAAUACAAUGAAGAAAAUCGGAGCGAGUCAAGGAAUAUAAAUACUUAGGAACAAUAAUUGAUGAUAAAUUUUCUUUUAAUAAUAAUGUUGAGACACUUUACAAAAAAAUCAAUUCUAGAAUGUAUUUUGUAAGGCAAUUAAGUAAACUAAGAAUUGACAGAAAGAUUAUGGAUAUAUUCUAUUCAGCAAUAAUACAAUCUGUUCUUUCGUUUAAUAUAACUUGCUGGUACGGAAAUUGUAACAUUGAAUUAAAAAACAAACUUUGUAAAAUAAUGAAAAAUUGUGGGAAACUUGGGGUUGAGAACAUCAUCCCUCUUGUAGAAAUUUAUAAGAAAGCAGUUGUCCGGAGAUGUGAGGUAGUACGACAUGAUCCCAUUCAUCCUUUAAACCAAUAUUAUCAAAUGUUACCCUCUGGAAGAAGGUUGAGGUCAUUAUACUGUAGAACAUCAAGAUAUUCAAGAUCUUUUGUACCUAGCAGUAUUAAAAUGUUAAAUGAACAACAGACAAUCUACCAGUAGCACAGACUGGGUUUGUUCCUGUGGCCUGUAAAUGACCAAUGUGUGUGAGUAGUACGAGGAGUGUAUGACGUAUGUGCGGUUUUAUCACUUUUACUGAGAGCUCAUGAAGCAAUUUUCAUGUAUUAUACGUGACAAUAAAGUAUUUAUUAUUAUUAUUAUUAAGUUGCGAGGCGUUGUCAUUUCCUACCACGCUCAAAUCGUGGGUCACCACACUCUACACGUGCUAUCUUCCCUGCCGCUUCUACCUCUUCUCCGCUCCUGACUCAUCCCCGUGGUCACACCUGUCUGCCAUCACACCUGUCGCCGCCUAUUCCUACUCAUCACGCCGCUCCUCUUUGCUGGUUGCCGUUCAUGCUUCUUCCUGAAUUGUGGGUAUCCCUUGGUUCCUUCUCCGAGCCACCCCCAACUCUCCCAUCCGAGUACUCGAGGUCAAGCCUCAUCGCCACCACCACUCCCCACCCAGCCCUUCUCAUGUCCGGACUCGCCCAAGGUCAUCUUUCCAAGUUUGCUCCCAGCAGUGAUUUUCCCAGUCAUCAGGGGCCAGAUCCACGAAACGGUUAUUAUCAACCUCCGGCAGCCAAAUGGUAUCCAAGAACGCAUAAGAGGCAGACCUAAUCCUCUUGUUUGAGAAGAUGCAGUCUCAGCUGGAGAGAAGAACAAGGCAUAGCCAGGCAUUACCAACUCACACCCAAGUUUUGUUGGCCCUGAGAUUGUUUGCCAGUGGGUCCUUCCAAAACGUCAUUGGAGACACUGCAGGACUUACGCAAGCGUCAGCAGGGUCUUCGAGUGUGUGUGCAUCGUGUUGAGUGAUAAGUCAGUGCAAGAAAUCAAGAUGCCUUCAACACACCUUGAUCAAAGGAGGACUGCACAGCAGUUCUUCAGGACCGAAAAUUUCUUAAGAGUUAUUGGGGCCAUUGAUAGCACCCACAUUGCCAUCAAGGCCCGAAGAGUGGACAAGGCCCUCUACUUUAACUGGAAAAGCUAUCACUCCCUCUGAAAAUCCAACUUGUUUGUGAUGCGAAUGGAGUGAUCCUCAGCUACUGCUUCAGAUUUUUCAGGCUCUCUUUUGGAUCUUCAUGGCAGUUUCCACAACAGCAAACACUGCAAGCUUGACCACACUGAUCUUGUCUCCAGUGAAGCUAAGAGUGGGAAUGUUUUUACCAAGUAUGUGUUGUGUUGUGGAGUUUUUAGUUUAGUUUUAAUCACUGUCCUUCCUUAAUCUGUUACUGGAAUCAUGAAAACACCCUUGCAAACCAUAACAACAUGUGCUAAAACCUGUUAAAGUAUCAUUAACCCUUUUAAACCAUUACUUGAAUCACAGAAACAUCCUUGCAAACCCUGACAACAUCCACUGAAACUUGUUAAACUGUCACUAGCAUUACUAAACCAUUACUUGAUCAUAAAAACACCCUUGAAAACCCUGGUAACAUCCAUUAAAGUCUGUUAAACUAUUACUAACCUUAUUAAACCAUUACUUGAAUCAUGAAAAUGCCCUUGAAAACCCUAAUAACAUCCACUAAAGCCUUUUAAAUUACCACUCCAAUCACGGGAGCUCCAAACACUAUUAGAGCCUGUUAAUAAAGAAAAGGCACUGGGAUAUUGGGGAAUGCACAUUUCAAGCUGUAGCCUUACCUCACAUCCUUAACUCUCAUAACAGGGCCUUUGUUGGAGGCGAAUGAAUGUCACUGUCUGCAUUACCAGAAGAGGCGCGUCUGAAGUGACCAAGAUAGGAAGGUACGUGGACUCCCAGGAGAGGCUGUACCAGUUCCUCACAUAUGCUGGCCAUCACUAGCAGACCUCUUGGGUGGUUUCCAAGACCCCAGCUUGGCCUUCAAGACACUUAACCAUACCAGGGUCUUCCUCCAGCAGCUCACCAGAAUAUAACUGGAUAACUUGCCUGCUGCCAGUACCUCCAGGCCUCUAGAGGUUGUGGCACCACAGCCUGCACAGCCCCUCAAAUCCCCAACAAGAACAAGAACACAACAGGAUAGUGGGAGUGAUGGCUUCAAGACACACUGCCACUGUACAGGGCAGCUGUUACUCUUGUACAUCAUGUGCUGCUUACAAGACUGUGCCUAAAAAUCUGAGAGGAAAAAGUAAAAGCUCACAGGACUGGUUGACGAGACAGCUAAAUGACCCUUAUGUGAAGUUGACCAAGCAACAUCAGCGCAGGCAUUGUCCAUGAUGCUUCCUGUGUUGUGGUUCCAUCAUGGCAAGCAUGGAAGUGCCUCUCACUCCAUCACCACCUCAUGAUCAUUGAGAGCAUGGACACAGAAGCUGAGG